RNAcentral lists this ribosomal RNA (777 nucleotides) under Staphylococcus sp. X40-CRBM-E14. RNAcentral describes it as "bacterial SSU rRNA". It matches the Rfam family "Bacterial small subunit ribosomal RNA", at positions 56 to 817 of the family's 1533-position model. RNAcentral also lists the same sequence under 1 other name. The record is from RNAcentral. Lineage: Bacteria; Bacillati; Bacillota; Bacilli; Caryophanales; Staphylococcaceae.
UGCAGUCGAGCGAACGGAUAAGGAGCUUGCUCCUUUGAAGUUAGCGGCGGACGGGUGAGUAACACGUGGGUAACCUACCUAUAAGACUGGGAUAACUUCGGGAAACCGGAGCUAAUACCGGAUAACAUUUAGAACCGCAUGGUUCUAAAGUGAAAGAUGGUUUUGCUAUCACUUAUAGAUGGACCCGCGCCGUAUUAGCUAGUUGGUAAGGUAACGGCUUACCAAGGCGACGAUACGUAGCCGACCUGAGAGGGUGAUCGGCCACACUGGAACUGAGACACGGUCCAGACUCCUACGGGAGGCAGCAGUAGGGAAUCUUCCGCAAUGGGCGAAAGCCUGACGGAGCAACGCCGCGUGAGUGAUGAAGGGUUUCGGCUCGUAAAACUCUGUUAUUAGGGAAGAACAAAUGUGUAAGUAACUGUGCACAUCUUGACGGUACCUAAUCAGAAAGCCACGGCUAACUACGUGCCAGCAGCCGCGGUAAUACGUAGGUGGCAAGCGUUAUCCGGAAUUAUUGGGCGUAAAGCGCGCGUAGGCGGUUUCUUAAGUCUGAUGUGAAAGCCCACGGCUCAACCGUGGAGGGUCAUUGGAAACUGGGAAACUUGAGUGCAGAAGAGGAAAGUGGAAUUCCAUGUGUAGCGGUGAAAUGCGCAGAGAUAUGGAGGAACACCAGUGGCGAAGGCGACUUUCUGGUCUGUAACUGACGCUGAUGUGCGAAAGCGUGGGGAUCAAACAGGAUUAGAUACCCUGGUAGUCCACGCCGUAACGAUGAGUGCU